RNAcentral lists this unclassified non-coding RNA (791 nucleotides) under Centruroides sculpturatus (bark scorpion). Its description in RNAcentral is "uncharacterized LOC111631079, transcript variant X1". Lineage: Eukaryota; Metazoa; Arthropoda; Arachnida; Scorpiones; Buthidae. The record is from RNAcentral.
GUUUCGGAAAGAAAUUUUAUUUAAUUUAUUGAUAUUGCGUCAAUUUCAAUUGAAUAUUAUUAAUGAUGUUACUUUAUGGGUACUGCCGAUUAAUUCUUAUCGGAGUCCAAUUAUUUCUACCUUUGUGGUGUUUAUUGGCUGUUAUAUACACUCUGAUUGAGAUUGGUGUGUAUAUUUCGAAAAUAAUAUAUGUUCGACGUAGGAGUCGAAAGGAUUCCAUAGACCAAUUCCGCUUGGUUCGAUAUCAGAAAAGAUCGAAACAAGAAUUUGCUCAGAAUCACCCAAGUUAUAAUGAUUAUUAUAAUCUUCAUACAGUUCUAGUAGACGAAUAAUGGAAAAAAUGCAAUUGAAGAGUUCCAUUAAUCAGUCUGCUGAAGAAAAGCCUACUGAAAAUAUAUCUGAAAGCAAUUCUUCGAUAGCCAUUCCAACAACAUUAAAAAAAGGCAUAUCUUAUCGAAGAAAUCUUCUCAUAUAUAACUCUCUUGGAACUCGAAUACAAACUGAACCUAUACCUGCUCAUCUUCCUGCAUUAGAAGAACGUAAUAGAGAUAAAAAGUUGGAAGAAAAACGACUGGAAUGGUUGUUGUCUGGAGUAAAACAAGCCUGCAAGAAGAAAGAUUGUACAAAAAGUGGUAUUUAUUGCGGUAGCCAACAAGGCUUGGUUCGAUAUCAGGAAGGUUCGAAACAAGAAUUUGCUCAGUAUCAAAAAGUGGAUCUAAAUUACUCAAAUUGCAAUGAUUAUUAUAAUCAGAAGCAAAUAGAUAAGAAAAAGAAAAGAACUUAAACAUUGA